RNAcentral lists this ribosomal RNA (119 nucleotides) under Octopus vulgaris (common octopus). RNAcentral also lists the same sequence under 1 other name. The record is from RNAcentral. Lineage: Eukaryota; Metazoa; Mollusca; Cephalopoda; Octopoda; Octopodidae.
GCUUACGGCCAUAUCAUGUUGAAAGCACCGGUUCUUGUUCGAUCACCGAAGUUAAGCAACAUCGAGCCUAGUUAGUACUUAGAUGGGUGAUCGCUUGGGAAGCCUAGGUGCUGUUAGCG